UAAAAGCAGAAAUCCUUGGCUCUACCCUUGGAAUUAGAGGGAGUAAAUAAAGUCCAGACUCUCACAUUCCCAACUUCGAAUCCUAAGGUAUAUAAAAUUUACCAUAUAAUGAUAAUUGAAGUUAGUUCCGCUCAAGAUGGAACUUAAGCAAAUUUUAACUUUUUGAAUUCUAGCCUCUUUCACCUUCAGAUGAUGUUUCAAAUUUGAACGAGAUCCGACUUCAUUGGUGAGCUUAGUCUCCGGAUAUUUUCGACAAGGUUCCAGAUUUUUGGAGGGGUUGUCAAGUGUAUAUAACAACACGCAUGGAUGGAUGAUCAUUGAUUUGAAGUAGCAAGCCCAGAAUUGCAAGUUGGCUAACGAAUGCAGCUGACAUAGAAACCAAGUAAAUCAAACCAAGCCCAAAAAAAACACCUGAUUUAAACACUGAGAGCGACACAUGAAGAACGCAGCGAACAAAUAAUUGCACAACAUUCACAACACCCGAUUUCCAAACUCAGGCGUCAAUGUCACUCCAAUAGAAACCAGAUUACAACACGCUCUGCUACCGACUAGAACGCCACCGUAAACCAACGAACCCCCCACCGGAUCUAAUCCACGAAGACCAGAUAUACACUUAAAUGUAUAUGUCAUUUCUUGCUUUUAAUUCCCCGACCAGAAGAAGCAUUGUUCCCUCCAGCUUGCGCCGCCUUCCGUACGGCUUUUUCUUGCAGAGCCUUCGCGUCCCUGGCCAUCAUAAAAAAAGCGCGUCCCAACAUGAAUCAAGACGGUAUAUUAAAACAGAAUUAACGGAAAUGUUAGGAUUUCUGAAUGAGAGUGUUCAACCUUUCGCGGCGCUGUUCUGGCGUCAAUCCGUCUGUUUUGGUUUGCUUGGACUUGCUACCAGCCCUAGCUUGGGCUCUUUCACGGUCUCUAUCCCUCUGGUUACCGCGUUGGCUUCAGUUAAAGGAAACAACAAACAGACAAUGCAUCAAAGGCCAAAAGUGCCAAAUUCCCAUUCUUCCGUUUGGUUGCCGAAUACAAAAGAUGAAAAGAACAAUGCAAAAAUGAUAGUUAACCCAAAAAAUCUCAGAUUUAGCUGAAUCUGGAGGUGUUGAAGUCACGAUUAUUGUCCAUCGCUUGAUCCCUCCGGGCAAACAGAUAAAAAAUCAUAGAACAAAAGCAGAAAAGAAAACAAAUUAAUAGGGAAAGAGAAUUGGAUCAGAUAGAUCCGAAUCAGGAAAGGAUAUGACUCAUUGAUGAUCUGAUUCCUAAACGAAACAAGUCAAUGAGAAUCCCCUGUAAAUGAUGCAAGCAAUUCCAACGUCAUAACCAAAAAGAAAGGGAAAAGGAUUCGAGAGCCAAAAUCAAUUACAGAGGAGAAGGAAACACGCCAUACCUUCGGAGGUUAGAGAGGAAGAAAAGAGACAGUGUCAGAAUGUCGAAGAGGAGGAAUGGGAGUCUGGAAGCACGAUGACGAGCAGGCUGACGAGGGAGAAAGGACGGAGAAGGGACUAGAAUGAAGAGUAAUUUGUGGGUGGGGGAUGGAAAAUUCAGGAUUUCUUCUCCUUUUCUAUUAGCUAUGGAAGGGUCGAGAAGCCGCGGGGAUUCUCCUUGUUG
This 1596-nucleotide long non-coding RNA is filed under the name Linum usitatissimum (flax). RNAcentral describes it as "long non-coding RNA (LUSI_LNC004650)". Lineage: Eukaryota; Viridiplantae; Streptophyta; Magnoliopsida; Malpighiales; Linaceae. The record is from RNAcentral.